CCUACGGGAGGCUGCAGUGGGGAAUAUUGGACAAUGGGCGAAAGCCUGAUCCAGCCAUGCCGCGUGUGUGAAGAAGGCCUUCGGGUUGUAAAGCACUUUCAGUGGGGAAGAAAGCCUUGGGGCUAAUACCCUCGAGGAAGGACAUCACCCACAGAAGAAGCACCGGCUAACUCCGUGCCAGCAGCCGCGGUAAUACGGAGGGUGCGAGCGUUAUUCGGAAUUACUGGGCGUAAAGCGCGCGUAGGCGGUCUGAUAAGCCGGUUGUGAAAGCCCCGGGCUCAACCUGGGAACGGCAUCCGGAACUGUCAGGCUAGAGUGCAGGAGAGGAAGGUAGAAUUCCCGGUGUAGCGGUGAAAUGCGUAGAGAUCGGGAGGAAUACCAGUGGCGAAGGCGGCCUUCUGGACUGACACUGACGCUGAGGUGCGAAAGCGUGGGUAGCAAACAGGAUUAGAUACCCCGGUAGUC
This 465-nucleotide ribosomal RNA is filed under the name Vreelandella stevensii. RNAcentral's name for it is "partial 16S ribosomal RNA". It matches the Rfam family "Bacterial small subunit ribosomal RNA", at positions 338 to 795 of the family's 1533-position model. Lineage: Bacteria; Pseudomonadati; Pseudomonadota; Gammaproteobacteria; Oceanospirillales; Halomonadaceae. The record is from RNAcentral.